This 431-nucleotide ribosomal RNA is filed under the name Rhampholyssa steveni. RNAcentral describes it as "partial large subunit ribosomal RNA". It matches the Rfam family "Bacterial large subunit ribosomal RNA", at positions 1930 to 2574 of the family's 2925-position model. Lineage: Eukaryota; Metazoa; Arthropoda; Insecta; Coleoptera; Meloidae. The record is from RNAcentral.
GCCGCAGUAUUUUGACUGUGCAAAGGUAGCAUAAUCAUUAGUUUUUUAAUUGAAAGCUGGAAUGAAUGGUCGGAUGAAAAAGAUACUGUCUCAUUAUAAUUUCUUAUGAAUUUUAUUUUUAAGUUAAAAAGCUUAGAUUUUAUAGAAAGACGAGAAGACCCUAUAGAGUUUAAUAGGUAUAUUUUAUUAUAAAUUAAGGCUUAAAUUUUUAUUGUAAUUUAGCUUAUUUUGUUGGGGUGACACUAGAAUUUAAAUAACUUCUUUUUAUAUUAACACUGAUUGGUGGAUAAUGGAUCCUGAUUUUUGGAUUAAAAGACUAAAUUACCUUAGGGAUAACAGCGUAAUUCUUUUGGAGAGUUCUAAUCGAUAAAAGGGAUUGCGACCUCGAUGUUGGAUUAAAGUUAAAUUUUGGUGCAGAAGCUAGAAUUUUG